RNAcentral lists this long non-coding RNA (258 nucleotides) under Vigna radiata. Its description in RNAcentral is "long non-coding RNA (VRAD_LNC018635)". Lineage: Eukaryota; Viridiplantae; Streptophyta; Magnoliopsida; Fabales; Fabaceae. The record is from RNAcentral.
CGCAGCUGAGAGUUUUGAAUUUACUGCAUAUUAGCAGUCCUUACUUUAUUGAGAAUCCAGAGCUGCAAAUGUCCAAUGCCUUUUUCCUCUGAUUUGUUUUUCCAGAUUUGCAAAAUCCUAAUNAGCUUAUGGAAACAGAUCAUAUGCACUAAUUUCAGUUUGUUGGCUAACAAUUUGUUUAACUAAUUGUUUUGUGUGCAGAAUUAGAAUUUGGCUUGACCAAGGAGUAGCAAGUUGUGAUUGUUAAAUCAAUGCUCA